GCCCUGUGUACCAUCCAAUAGAUGACUGUGAGCAUCCACUUCUGUAUUUGCCAGGCACUGGUAUAGCCUCACAAGAGACAGAUAUAUCAGGGUCCUGUCAGCAAAAUCUUGCUGGCAUAUGCAAUAGUGUCUGAGUUUGGUGGCUGUUUAUGGGUUUAUGGGAUGGAUCCCUAGGUGGGGCAGUCUCUCCGUCUCUGGAUGGUCCUUCCUUCAGUCUAAGCUCCAAACUUUGUCUCUGUAACUCUGGAUGGGGAACUUUUGUUCCAAUGCCUGAGAUACUUUUGGUUAUUUCCAAUGAGGAAAUGCUACUGGAGUCUGGUGAGCAGAGGCCAGCGUGACUUAGAAUGUUAGAUUCUUAGAAUCACAGAACAGAUCCCUCUUCUACAAAAAAAAAAAAAAAAAAAGGUAAUAUUUUGGCUCCAAAUACCAAAAUAGCAAUAGAUAAUAGAAAUCACUGACCUGGGCCAUAUAUUAAAUUCACAUGGAAAUAAGAGUGGGAAUAAAUGUGGAUGUAUAUCCAAAGACUUAAAUUUUGGACAUGAUGACACAUGAAUAUAUUCCCAGCAUCUGGGAAGCUAAGGCAAGAGAACCUGUCAUUGAAGGUCAUCUUUGACUAUAUAGUGAGUUUGAAGUCAUCCUAGGACACAUUUCACUUUAUCUAAAAACAUAAAAUGAGAGUCCCAGUGAGGAUGUUCUCUUGGGCAGUGUAUUUUAAAAGGCCAGGGCACUUGCAUUGCUGCUUCCAAAACUCAGGUAUGGGGGCUUGUGGUUGUUUAGACUGAAAAUAUUCUGUGUGAAGGAUGGUCAAAUAUAGACUGGACCAAUCAGAAGCAACUUGGAAACAAGUGUCUGGUCUAUCUGCAUCAGUCAAAGGACAAAACAGCCAGUGUAAGCAAAUAUAGUGAAACCACCAAACUAGACUACUCCAAGGGAAUAAAAAGGUUAUUUUGGAACAAAACUGUCUCAGAGAGUAGAGGGCAAUGACUUGGCAGGAAAGCAAGCAGAUUUUAUAUGACAGGGUAGGAGUCUUGAAUGCAGAGAUCAGCAUGCCUGUCUCCUGGGAUUAAAGGUGUGUACCACCAUGCCUGGAUCUAAAUUUAGCUGGGCAGGAUCUUGCCCGAAGGUCCCACUUCCUUAAUCUGUUAUCUCCUAGAACACAGGAUUUUGCUCCAUUUCACUUCCUGGUACCCCUUUAAUACUCAAACCACAUAUUAUAUAUUUUUUUUCCUUUCUAAGCUUGCUAUGUUUGUUCUAACUUCUUUUCAUAAGACUUAACCAGAGAACAAAGUCUCUGCUGGGCUUUUUUGAAACUUCCUUUGUCAAAGCAAUUAAUCUGAAUAGCCUCACCUUAGCCUCAGGCAGACUUUUCAGACAAGGGCAAAAGUAGCCACAUUCUUCGACAAAAUACCACAAAAAUAGUCUUUAUGCCACAUUCUGAGAUUCUUCUCCUUUGAAAUCUCUUGGGCCAGGUCAACACCGUUCAAAUUACUCCCAGUAACAGUCUUCCAUAUUCCUACUAGGAUGACCCAUUAAGCCCCAUUUAAAGCAUUCCACUGUGUUCCAAAUCCAAAGUCCCCAAAUCUACAUUCUUUCAAUUAAAAGCAUGGUCAGGCCUAUUGCAGCAAUACCCCACUCCCAGUACCAACUUCUGUCUUAGUUAGAGUUUUACUGCUGUAAACAGACACCAUGACUAAGGCAAGUCUU
Molecule: long non-coding RNA, 1704 nt
Filed under: Mus musculus (house mouse)
Lineage: Eukaryota; Metazoa; Chordata; Mammalia; Rodentia; Muridae
Description: long non-coding RNA chr1:171688310-171690014
Source: RNAcentral